RNAcentral lists this ribosomal RNA (689 nucleotides) under uncultured bacterium. RNAcentral describes it as "bacterial SSU rRNA". It matches the Rfam family "Bacterial small subunit ribosomal RNA", at positions 8 to 692 of the family's 1533-position model. The record is from RNAcentral.
AGAGUUUGAUCAUGGCUCAGAUUGAACGCUGGCGGCAUGCCUUACACAUGCAAGUCGAACGGCAGCACGGGAGCAAUCCUGGUGGCGAGUGGCGAACGGGUGAGUAAUAUAUCGGAACGUGCCCAGUCGUGGGGGAUAACGCAGCGAAAGCUGUGCUAAUACCGCAUACGAUCUACGGAUGAAAGCGGGGGAUCGCAAGACCUCGCGCGAUUGGAGCGGCCGAUAUCAGAUUAGCUAGUUGGUGGGGUAAAAGCCCACCAAGGCGACGAUCUGUAGCUGGUCUGAGAGGACGACCAGCCACACUGGAACUGAGACACGGUCCAGACUCCUACGGGAGGCAGCAGUGGGGAAUUUUGGACAAUGGGCGCAAGCCUGAUCCAGCAAUGCCGCGCGCAGGAUGAAGGCCUUCGGGUUGUAAACUGCUUUUGUACGGAGCGAAACGGUCCUUUCUAAUACAAAGGGCUAAUGACGGUACCGUAAGAAUAAGCACCGGCUAACUACGUGCCAGCAGCCGCGGUAAUACGUAGGGUGCGAGCGUUAAUCGGAAUUACUGGGCGUAAAGCGUGCGCAGGCGGUUAUAUAAGACAGAUGUGAAAUCCCCGGGCUCAACCUGGGACCUGCAUUUGUGACUGUAUAGCUAGAGUACGGUAGAGGGGGAUGGAAUUCCGCGUGUAGCAGUGAAAUGCGUA